UACGUAGGGGGCAAGCGUUGUCCGGAUUUACUGGGCGUAAAGAGCGUGUAGGCGGCCAGGCAGGUCUGUUGUGAAAACUGGAGGCUCAACUUCCAGACGUCGACAGAAACCGCUUGGCUAGAGUCCGGAAGAGGAGAGUGGAAUUCCUGGUGUAGCGGUGAAAUGCGUAGAGAUCGGGAGGAACACCUGUGGCGAAGGCGGCCGACUGGGCCGACCCUGACGCUGAGGCGCGAAGGCGUGGGGAGCGAACGGG
Molecule: ribosomal RNA, 253 nt
Filed under: uncultured bacterium
Lineage: Bacteria
Description: partial 16S ribosomal RNA
Rfam family: Bacterial small subunit ribosomal RNA
Source: RNAcentral